AGUGAACGCUGGCGGUAGGCCUAACACAUGCAAGUCGAACGGCAGCACAGUAAGAGCUUGCUCUUACGGGUGGCGAGUGGCGGACGGGUGAGGAAUACAUCGGAAUCUACUUUUUCGUGGGGGAUAACGUAGGGAAACUUACGCUAAUACCGCAUACGACCUACGGGUGAAAUCAGGGGAUCUUCGGACCUUGCCCGACUGAAUGAGCCGAUGUCGGAUUAGCUAGUUGGCGGGGUAAAGGCCCACCAAGGCGACGAUCCGUAGCUGGUCUGAGAGGAUGAUCAGCCACACUGGAACUGAGACACGGUCCAGACUCCUACGGGAGGCAGCAGUGGGGAAUAUUGGACAAUGGGCGCAAGCCUGAUCCAGCCAUACCGCGUGGGUGAAGAAGGCCUUCGGGUUGUAAAGCCCUUUUGUUGGGAAAGAAAAGCAGCAGGUGAAUACCCCGCUGUUCUGACGGUACCCAAAGAAUAAGCACCGGCUAACUUCGUG
Molecule: ribosomal RNA, 492 nt
Filed under: uncultured bacterium
Lineage: Bacteria
Description: partial 16S ribosomal RNA
Rfam family: Bacterial small subunit ribosomal RNA
Source: RNAcentral